UACGGGGGGGGCAAGCGUUGUUCGGAAUUACUGGGCGUAAAGGGCUCGUAGGCGGCCAACUAAGUCGGACGUGAAAUCCCCAGGCUCAACCUGGGAACUGCAUCCGAUACUGGAUGGCUUGAAUUCGGGAGAGGGAUGCAGAAUUCCAGGUGUAGCGGUGAAAUGCGUAGAUAUCUGGAGGAAUACCGGUGGCGAAGGCGGCAUCCUGGACCGGCAUUGACGCUGAGGAGCGAAAGCCAGGGGAGCAAACGGG
RNAcentral lists this ribosomal RNA (253 nucleotides) under uncultured bacterium. Its description in RNAcentral is "partial 16S ribosomal RNA". It matches the Rfam family "Bacterial small subunit ribosomal RNA", at positions 524 to 776 of the family's 1533-position model. The record is from RNAcentral.